Molecule: long non-coding RNA, 371 nt
Filed under: Spirodela polyrhiza (greater duckweed)
Lineage: Eukaryota; Viridiplantae; Streptophyta; Magnoliopsida; Alismatales; Araceae
Description: long non-coding RNA (SPOL_LNC002430)
Source: RNAcentral
AGGCAUCUCCAACUCCGUGGUGGAAUAGAUCUUCGCCAGAAAUCCUGGAUGACAUCAGAAUCCUCGGAUGGAAGUUCACAUCGCUAGAUCUGGCCUUGUUUCAGGUUUUCGAAGACGAGCAAGAUGCCGCGAAAUACUGCGAUCUGCUUCAGGGAGGAGGUCAGGGCUGCGAAGGCAUUGCGGAGCUCGAGGCGUCGUCGGUGAGGAGGGGACGAAUGCCGAAUCCUUACCGGUCAUCCAUGUCGACGGCUUACGAGAUCCUCUCCCCGUCCAGGUCUUCGACAUUUGCCAGAAGAUGAAGGCCCUCGCCGUCCUCUUCCGCCGGGGGAGAACGCCGCCGUUGCCGGAGAACCUUCAGCUCAAUCUCCGCG